Molecule: ribosomal RNA, 435 nt
Filed under: uncultured bacterium
Lineage: Bacteria
Description: partial 16S ribosomal RNA
Rfam family: Bacterial small subunit ribosomal RNA
Source: RNAcentral
AACGAACGCUGGCGGCAUGCCUAACACAUGCAAGUCGAACGAUUGCCUUCGGGUGAUAGUGGCGCACGGGUGCGUAACGCGUGGGAAUCUGCCCUUAGGUUCGGAAUAACAGCUGGAAACGGCUGCUAAUACCGGAUGAUAUCGCGAGAUCAAAGGUUUAUCGCCUGAGGAUGAGCCCGCGUUGGAUUAGGUAGUUGGUGGGGUAAAGGCCUACCAAGCCGACGAUCCAUAGCUGGUCUGAGAGGAUGAUCAGCCACACUGGGACUGAGACACGGCCCAGACUCCUACGGGAGGCAGCAGUGGGGAAUAUUGGACAAUGGGCGCAAGCCUGAUCCAGCAAUGCCGCGUGAGUGAUGAAGGCCCUAGGGUUGUAAAGCUCUUUUACCCGGGAAGAUAAUGACUGUACCGGGAGAAUAAGCCCCGGCUAACUCCGUG